GGUCGAGUGGCGUAAUGGUAGCGUGUGGUCCUCCUAUCCAGAAGGGCUCAGACUGAGGUUGUGGGUUCGAGUCCCAUCUCGAUCG
Non-coding RNA from Lasiosphaeris hirsuta, 85 nucleotides. Lineage: Eukaryota; Fungi; Ascomycota; Sordariomycetes; Sordariales; Lasiosphaeriaceae. The record is from the annotation of a GenBank genome assembly.